This 504-nucleotide ribosomal RNA is filed under the name Triticum aestivum (bread wheat). RNAcentral's name for it is "partial small subunit ribosomal RNA". Lineage: Eukaryota; Viridiplantae; Streptophyta; Magnoliopsida; Poales; Poaceae. The record is from RNAcentral.
AUGGCGGCCAGCCUGUGGCGCGCGGUCAUGGGCUCCUCCUCCUCCUCCUCGUCGGGCGGCGUCGACGACCCGGCGGCUGGCGGCGUGGAGUUCUGGCACGGGGCGGAGCGCGCGGGGUGGCUGACCAAGCAGGGCGAGUACAUCAAGACGUGGCGGCGGCGCUGGUUCGUGCUCAAGCAGGGCCGGCUCUUCUGGUUCAAGGACGCCGCCGUCACGCGCGGCUCCGUGCCCCGCGGGAUCAUCCCCGUCUCCUCCUGCCUCACCGUCAAGGGCGCCGAGGACGUGCUCAACCGCCAGUUCGCCUUCGAGCUCUCCACCCCGGCCGAGACCAUGUACUUCAUCGCCGACGCCGAGAAGGAGAAGGAGGAGUGGAUCAACUCCAUCGGCCGAUCCAUCGUGCAGCACUCCCGCUCCGUCACCGACGCCGAGGUCGUUGACUACGACAGCCGCCCCCAGCCCCCGCCGCAGCCCAAGAAGAGCGAGGCCAGCGAGCCGUCAGAGUAA